AACGAACGCUGGCGGCAUGCCUAACACAUGCAAGUCGAACGAGACCUUCGGGUCUCGUGCCUCACGGGUUCGUAAUGCGUGGGAACCUGCCCAUAGGUACGGAAUAACUCCCCGAAAGGGGUGCUAAUACCGGAAAAUGUCUUUGAUCCAACGAUUUAUCGCCUCUGGAUGGGCCCGCUUUAGGUUAGCUAGCUGGUACAGUAAAAGCAUAACAAGGCGACGAUCCAUAGCUGGUUUGAGAGGAUGAUCAGCCACACUGGGACUGAGACACGGCCCAGACUCUUCCGGAUGGCAGCAAGGGGGAAUGUUGGACGCUGGGCGAGAGCCUGAUGCAGCCAUGCCGCGUGAGUGAUGAAGGCCUUAGGAUUGUAAAGCUCUUUUACCCGGGAUGAUAAUGACAGUACCGGAAGAAUAAGCUCCGGCUAACUCCGUG
Molecule: ribosomal RNA, 433 nt
Filed under: uncultured bacterium
Lineage: Bacteria
Description: partial 16S ribosomal RNA
Rfam family: Bacterial small subunit ribosomal RNA
Source: RNAcentral